RNAcentral lists this ribosomal RNA (497 nucleotides) under uncultured bacterium. RNAcentral's name for it is "partial 16S ribosomal RNA". It matches the Rfam family "Bacterial small subunit ribosomal RNA", at positions 28 to 507 of the family's 1533-position model. The record is from RNAcentral.
GAUGAACGCUGGCGGCGUGCCUAAUACAUGCAAGUCGAGCGAACGGACGAGAAGCUUGCUUUUCUGAUGUUAGCGGCGGACGGGUGAGUAACACGUGGAUAACCUACCUAUAAGACUGGGAUAACUUCGGGAAACCGGAGCUAAUACCGGAUAAUAUUUUGAACCGCAUGGUUCAAAAGUGAAAGACGGUCUUGCUGUCACUUAUAGAUGGAUCCGCGCUGCAUUAGCUAGUUGGUAAGGUAACGGCUUACCAAGGCAACGAUGCAUAGCCGACCUGAGAGGGUGAUCGGCCACACUGGAACUGAGACACGGUCCAGACUCCUACGGGAGGCAGCAGUAGGGAAUCUUCCGCAAUGGGCGAAAGCCUGACGGAGCAACGCCGCGUGAGUGAUGAAGGUCUUCGGAUCGUAAAACUCUGUUAUUAGGGAAGAACAUAUGUGUAAGUAACUGUGCACAUCAUGACGGUACCUAAUCAGAAAGCCACGGCUAACUACGUG